RNAcentral lists this ribosomal RNA (305 nucleotides) under uncultured bacterium. RNAcentral's name for it is "partial 16S ribosomal RNA". It matches the Rfam family "Bacterial small subunit ribosomal RNA", at positions 337 to 659 of the family's 1533-position model. The record is from RNAcentral.
UCCUACGGGGGGCAGCAGUGGGGGAUAUUGCACAAUGGGGGGAACCCUGAUGCAGCGACGCCGCGUGGGUGAAGAAGCGCCUCGGCGCGUAAAGCCCUGUCAGCAGGGAAGAAAAUGACGGUACCUGAAGAAGAAGCCCCGGCUAACUACGUGCCAGCAGCCGCGGUAAUACGUAGGGGGCAAGCGUUAUCCGGAUUUACUGGGUGUAAAGGGGGCGCAGACGGCGAUGCAAGCCAGGAGUGCAAGCCCGGGGCCCAACCCCGGGACUGCUCUUGGAACUGCGUGUCUGGAGUGCAGGAGGGGCG